UAGGGAAUCUUCCGCAAUGGACGCAAGUCUGACGGAGCAACGCCGCGUGAGUGAAGAAGGAUUUAGGUUCGUAAAACUCUGUUGUUAGAGAAGAACAGCGCAUAGAGUAACUGUUAUGCGUGUGACGGUAUCUAACCAGAAAGCCACGGCUAACUACGUGCCAGCAGCCGCGGUAAUACGUAGGUGGCAAGCGUUGUCCGGAUUUAUUGGGCGUAAAGCGAGCGCAGGCGGUCAAUUAAGUCUGAUGUGAAAGCCCCCGGCUCAACCGGGGAGGGUCAUUGGAAACGGGUUGACUUGAGUGCAGAAGAGGAGAGUGGAAUUCCAUGUGUAGCGGUGAAAUGCGUAGAUAUAUGGAGGAACACCAGUGGCGAAGGCGACUCUCUGGUCUGUAACUGACGCUGAGGCUCGAAAGCGUGGGUAGCAAACAGG
Molecule: ribosomal RNA, 429 nt
Filed under: Bacteroidota bacterium
Lineage: Bacteria; Pseudomonadati; Bacteroidota
Description: Bacteroidetes bacterium partial 16S ribosomal RNA
Rfam family: Bacterial small subunit ribosomal RNA
Source: RNAcentral